RNAcentral lists this small nuclear RNA (96 nucleotides) under Phascolarctos cinereus (koala). The record is from RNAcentral. Lineage: Eukaryota; Metazoa; Chordata; Mammalia; Diprotodontia; Phascolarctidae.
GCAAUAUGUAUGUUUGCUGAAUAAAUGCUUGGAAUGAUAUGGAGAGGAUUAGCAUUGGCCUUGCACAAAGAUGACAAAUUCAUGGAGCAUUUCUUU